Cannabis sativa is the source of this 107-nucleotide small nucleolar RNA. NCBI's taxonomy places the organism in Eukaryota, Viridiplantae, Streptophyta, Magnoliopsida, Rosales, Cannabaceae. The record is from RefSeq and is a predicted model, not a curated record.
AUUCCGUGAUUAGGGCAUUUUCUGAUUAAGUCGUUGAAUCUCUCCCACGCUUCAUAAAGAGAUUCAUUGUCUUGUUGGAUGAAGUUGUUGAUUUAAGAUCUCAGCUU